Molecule: ribosomal RNA, 254 nt
Filed under: uncultured bacterium
Lineage: Bacteria
Description: partial 16S ribosomal RNA
Rfam family: Bacterial small subunit ribosomal RNA
Source: RNAcentral
UACGUAGGGGGCAAGCGUUGUCCGGAUUUAUUGGGCGUAAAGAGCUCGUAGGCGGUUUGGUAAGUCUGGUGUGAAAUCUCCACGCUCAACGUGGAGGGGCCACCCGAUACUGCCAUGACUGGAGUCCGGUAGAGGAGUGUGGAAUUCCCGGUGUAGCGGUGAAAUGCGCAGAUAUCGGGAGGAACACCCGUAGCGAAGGCGGGUCUCUGGACAGUUCCUGACGCUGAGGCACGAAGGUCAGGGGAGCAAACGGG